This 407-nucleotide ribosomal RNA is filed under the name uncultured bacterium. RNAcentral describes it as "bacterial SSU rRNA". It matches the Rfam family "Bacterial small subunit ribosomal RNA", at positions 354 to 777 of the family's 1533-position model. The record is from RNAcentral.
GUGAGGAAUCUUCCACAAUGGGCGAAAGCCUGAUGGAGCAAUGCCGCGUGCAGGAUGAAGGCCUUCGGGUUGUAAACUGCUUUUAUUAGAGAAGAAUAUGACGGUAACUAAUGAAUAAGGGACGGCUAACUACGUGCCAGCAGCCGCGGUCAUACGUAGGUCCCAAGCGUUAUCCGGAGUGACUGGGCGUAAAGAGUUGCGUAGGCGGUUAAAUAAGUGGGUGAUGAAAUCUAUUGGCUCAACCGGUAGACUGUUAUCCAAACUGUUUGACUUGAGAGUAUCAGAGGUCGCUGGAAUUCCUAGUGUAGCAGUGAAAUGCGUAGAUAUUAGGAAGAACACCGAUGGCGUAGGCAGGCGACUGGGGUACUUCUGACGCUAAGGCACGAAAGCGUGGGUAGCGAACCGGA